GUUCGAUUAGCUCAGGUGGGAGAGCGUUGUAGGUGUGUAGGUAUACUAAACCAUGUACUGGGCCUACGAAGGUUAGGAGUUCAAAUCUCCUAUCGGACA
This 99-nucleotide transfer RNA is filed under the name Neurospora pannonica FGSC 7221. RNAcentral's name for it is "tRNA-Und (NNN) (tRNA-Und-NNN-9-1)". Lineage: Eukaryota; Fungi; Ascomycota; Sordariomycetes; Sordariales; Sordariaceae. The record is from RNAcentral.